GGAGGAAGAGGAAGAUACAGAGGAGGACCUGGAGGGUACAAUGGACCCCAGGGAACCCCUGUUCAACAACAGCAACAGACUCCCCCUCAACAGCCCCCCCCUCUGCAGCAGACUGCAGCACAACCACAAUACAUCAUAGUCUGUAUCCAGCCCCUCCUCCAAAUCCAUAAGCACUGAUCUAUCAACAGCCACAGCAAGCCACGUUUGCACCGCUUCAAGCUUAGUUCCCUCAAACCUUAUGUCCCGCAACAGGUGGGUCAGCAGCCCAUAUAUGGGGCCCCACAACAGAGAGAUAAUAUGCAUAAAAGAAGCCCGUUCAGGAGUAAGAGGAGUAACAACUGGGGCAACGAAGGCUUUAGACGAGCAUUAAUAAUUUUUAAUUAUAGUCAGGCUGGACAUUGGGCUAAUUUUUGUCCUUAUCCACCACAGGGUUAGCAGUCUCAGUCAGAACCACUUCAGUACUCUCAUAAUGUCUAACCCCGCCAUAACAAGCACCCAACACAUAGCCACAGCCACAAGGUAACAGUGAUCCAUGGCACCAGGCCCGGACCAGAGACACAACAUUAGGCGUGCCCAGAUCCAACAGCUGACAGCGAACUGUAUCCACUGAACAGAAAUGUGCCACACCCACUAGUCACCCAAUGAUUCAACUGGAGACUAAAGAGACACUGAACAGGAAGCAAAGCGUCCGGUGGGACAGAGUAGAUGAUGAUGACAUCACACCUCUGCAUGACAACAGCCAGCAGUGGAGACUUUGGUUCAAAGUCCUGCAUCCCUACUCGCCACCAGGGGACCAAAGACAUUGUGCCCUUAACUCCUCCUUGAUACAAGAUGAGAUCUGAAUUCCUGAGGGACUGCCUGCAACACGAGAUUGAGGUUCAUGAAGACCCAACUGUGGAGGCUUGGAGAUCUAUGCACUGAACAAGGAGUAGCAGCGGCCGGUGAAUGAACACCAGAGUUGCAGAUUGAAUGCAGUCGUUGACACCGCAGCUCCACAUCACAGUGUUUGUCCAGAGUGGAGGCACAGAGAAGAACAAUGGUGAAAGCAGAGGUUGAGGCUACGGACUGAGUGCACAAAAACAAAUUAACACUUUCAUUACUCCACAUUUGAGAACAUUACAGAAUUGCACACACAUCGGAGGUCCAGUUAUUAUUAAGAGACAAAUAUUAGAGACACAUGCUUAGACACACACAUAGGAGAGAGAACACUGAUCAUGGGGACACUGACAACAUGCGAAACUUAUUUCCAGACACUUUUAGGACUAAAGGGUGAACUGAUGUGUGACUGAUUCUGAUAGCUCCCAUAGAGAUAGAGUUAAAACUAAGUACGAUUCCAAUUUAAUCAUCACCAGCAUCCCUUAAGGAUGGAACAGACUAGAUAUAUUUUUAAAUCAUAGAAUGGUUGUUAUAGGCAGGUGUACUGGAGAGGACGAGGGCGCCCUGGAAUACAGUAAUUAGUUGUCUCCUAAACUUGGAAAAUGGACCUUGAUUUGGGGCCAAUAAAUAAAUGUGUAACCCGUUCUUUAAUAAUUAGGCCGACUUAUUAUGACAUUCCUUACCCAAGCACAAUGAUGACGCUGUGAGUUCAGACAAGACAUGGUUCUCCUGCAUUGAUUUGACAAACGCAAGCAUUUUUUAUUUUAUUUCUCCUUUCUUCUAGAAGUUGACUGUUUAUUAAGAUUAUUAUUAUUGAAAAGGACGGAUUUAGGAAUUCCAUCCUAUUUCAAAAGAGGGAUAGAAGCACACAACAAUCUAUGUUGAGGACAGACUAUUAAGAGGAGGGCCAGACAAGUACAGACUAAUAGAUCAGAUAGCAGCAGGUUUAGAAUCAGGGACCCCAGAGAAUCAUAAAAAUAAUUUUUUGAAAUCAUAAAUAUGCUUGAUAAAUGAAAAGAUGUAAUCUUAUUUGUGUUCCUUCCAUAGUUGUGGUGAUAGUAGAUGGGGUUCAACGUCGACAGAUUCGAAGAAGAGCCGCCACUCCUGUACACAUAACUUGCGAGUGUUUGAUCACAUCCCAUAUAGUGCACACAGGCACACACUCAAGGUAUAGAGUUACAAGACGCAUCAGGUCCGACAACGGAACACAUUUUAACAACAAACUGCUGGGGAAAGUUGAUAUGCACUGGGCAUAACCUACAAGUUUGGGUCUAUAUAUCACCCUCAGUCUCAAGGAUUGGUUGAGAGAGCCAAUCAAAUUAUUAAAAGGAAAAUGUGCGAAGGCGCUUCCACUAGGUACUGAUGACCAUGAGAGCAUUACCAGGGGGGAAGACAUCACCAAGUGAGUUGUUAACAGGAAGAAGUAUGCCAGAGCCACCCAGAGAUGGAGGUCAUAUGCCACCUCUGGAUGUCUGUAAAAAAUUGAAAUGUCAGAAUACAUAAAAGCUCUAAUUUCUCUCUCACCAAAAGCUCUCUGAAACCAGGUUGUUCGAGCCCAGACGAUCGAGCAGGAGGCAGCAGAGCCAACCAAAGUAAAAGUAGGUGACUGGGUCAGGGUCAGGGUUCACAAGAGGAAGUGGACUGAGCCUAGGUGGACUGGUCUGUACGAAGUGGAGGAGGUUACUUCACACAUGGUCCAGGUCAAGGGUAAGGCAGAGGCACCUUGACACCACCUGACACAGGGACCUUGACACCACCUGACACCACCUGACACAGGGACAUUGACAGAAACACAAUCAGAUCUAAAGAUGUUGAUGCCACAGAGGUCGUUCCGUAGGUGUGUCGGGGAUCCUGAUAGCCCAGCUAGAAGGUCCCCCCGCAAACCACUAUAGGAACAGCUGGAAGUCAGACAAACUGUUCUAAUAAUCAUGGGACUGACUUGUCACUAUCGUAGGAUUAUUCAUUUGAGGGUUAGAGAAGAACCUGCCAAAAAGACAUUAUAAUAGAAAAGAUUAGGGAGAAUAUUGUUAUUAAUGUAUGUUGCCUGAGAGUGACUGUAUGUUAAUAUUAUAGAUUGAAGCCAGUUGAAUUACAUGAAGGAAAAGAAAAGUAGGAAAGACAGGAAAAGAAAAGUAGGAAAGACAGGAAAAGAAAAGUAGGAAAGACAGGCAAUGAAAGGUUGCAAAGACAGGCAAAGAAAGGUUGGAAAGAAAGGAGACAGAGAGAGAGACAAAUGAGAGAAGAAUUAGACAGAAAAGAGAGAGAAAUCGCAAGAAAAGAAGACUCUUAUUGUGAAAAUACUUGGUUAAGCGACUUGACCGGAAGUGACGUUUUGACCAUGGGUUAGUGACAUUUGACCCCUCCAUUGUUCUAGCGGAACUUUGAACUAAUCACUAGGUGUUAAAGGCUGGACUCACCUUUGAGUGAGGAUUGGCUGAUUUUGAGUCUAAGACUCUGGGGAUUAGAGAUGGCAGUCUCAUCAACAGAUAUCUCGAUGCUGGAAGGCUGAGGAAGCAGAGGAGCCAAUGAAGAAGCAUCCCUGAAUGAGAAACUUCUAACAGAAAGAAGAGGUUUCAAACAGGAUGUCCCCAACCACCACCAGAGGUUUGCAGGUGCUGAAUGCUGAGACAACAAACGUGACGAUGACCAGUGAUGGCUAUGUUGAGUUCUCUCCACCUUCAUGUUCAUGAAUCAAAUGGAAUUUGCUUCAGAAAUAAGGAGGGAGGGAGUAGAACUGAGAUGCUGAUAUGCUGUUAAAGGAGAUCGCUAAUGUACUGCAGCUGAAAUUAGACUACAUUGAAAAGGCUUAAACAAGACACUUGGCAUUUCAAAAGAAACACACUCACCUACGCACACACACUUAUACUCAAUCACUCAGCCAAUUGAAGCAGCUACCAAGAGUCGUCCUGGAACCAUGAAGAAGCAACAGUCAUGAAGAGACACCAUAACUUACAGACCACAGUCGCCAGAGGCAAUAAAGUAGCUGACCUCUCAGAGGAGAGAGCAGCAGCUGGGUUAAACAGAUGACAGCGCUGCCAUACCGGGACUCCCGGAACUUGCAUUGGAGGACAUCAAGCUCAUGCAGACAGAAGAUCCAAAGACAGUGGUGAAUUGUCUAAAGAAGAAACUGAUACUGAGAUAUGGUGAUAAAAGGAGAAUCAGAUCUGACAAUGGCACACAUUUUUGCAAACCAACA
Long non-coding RNA from Pseudoliparis swirei, 4072 nucleotides. RefSeq lists it as uncharacterized. NCBI's taxonomy places the organism in Eukaryota, Metazoa, Chordata, Actinopteri, Perciformes, Liparidae. The transcript is spliced from 2 exons. The record is from RefSeq and is a predicted model, not a curated record.